UGCUACAGGCUUAACACAUGCAAGUCGAGGGGCAUCAGGAAGAAAGCUUGCUUUCUUUGCUGGCGACCGGCGCACGGGUGAGUAACACGUAUCCAACCUGCCCUUUACUCGGGGAUAGCCUUUCGAAAGAAAGAUUAAUACCCGAUAGCAUAAUGAUUCCGCAUGGUUUCAUUAUUAAAGGAUUCCGGUAAAGGAUGGGGAUGCGUUCCAUUAGGUUGUUGGUGAGGUAACGGCCCACCAAGCCUUCGAUGGAUAGGGGUUCUGAGAGGAAGGUCCCCCACAUUGGAACUGAGACACGGUCCAAACUCCUACGGGAGGCAGCAGUGAGGAAUAUUGGUCAAUGGGCGCUAGCCUGAACCAGCCAAGUAGCGUGAAGGAUGAAGGCUCUAUGGGUCGUAAACUUCUUUUAUAUAAGAAUAAAGUGCAGUAUGUAUACUGUUUUGUAUGUAUUAUAUGAAUAAGGAUCGGCUAACUCCGUGCCAGCAGCCGCGGUAAUACGGAGGAUCCGAGCGUUAUCCGGAUUUAUUGGGUUUAAAGGGAGCGUAGGUGGACUGGUAAGUCAGUUGUGAAAGUUUGCGGCUCAACCGUAAAAUUGCAGUUGAUACUGUCAGUCUUGAGUACAGUAGAGGUGUGCGGAAUUCGUGGUGUAGCGGUGAAAUGCUUAGAUAUCACGAAGAACUCCGAUUGCGAAGGCAGCUCACUGGACUGCAACUGACACUGAUGCUCGAAAGUGUGGGUAUCAAACAGGAUUAGAUACCCUGGUAGUCCACACAGUAAACGAUGAAUACUCGCUGUUUGCGAUAUACAGUAAGCGGCCAAGCGAAAGCAUUAAGUAUUCCACCUGGGGAGUACGCCGGCAACGGUGAAACUCAAAGGAAUUGACGGGGGCCCGCACAAGCGGAGGAACAUGUGGUUUAAUUCGAUGAUACGCGAGGAACCUUACCCGGGCUUAAAUUGCAGUGGAAUGAUGUGGAAACAUGUCAGUGAGCAAUCACCGCUGUGAAGGUGCUGCAUGGUUGUCGUCAGCUCGUGCCGUGAGGUGUCGGCUUAAGUGCCAUAACGAGCGCAACCCUUAUCUUUAGUUACUAACAGGUUAUGCUGAGGACUCUAGAGAGACUGCCGUCGUAAGAUGUGAGGAAGGUGGGGAUGACGUCAAAUCAGCACGGCCCUUACGUCCGGGGCUACACACGUGUUACAAUGGGGGGUACAGAAGGCAGCUAGCGGGUGACCGUAUGCUAAUCCCAAAAUCCUCUCUCAGUUCGGAUCGAAGUCUGCAACCCGACUUCGUGAAGCUGGAUUCGCUAGUAAUCGCGCAUCAGCCACGGCGCGGUGAAUACGUUCCCGGGCCUUGUACACACCGCCCGUCAAGCCAUGGGAGCCGGGGGUACCUGAAGUACGUAACCGCAAGGAUCGUCCUAGGGUAAAACUGGUGACUGGGGCUAAGU
This 1445-nucleotide ribosomal RNA is filed under the name uncultured organism. RNAcentral describes it as "SSU rRNA". It matches the Rfam family "Bacterial small subunit ribosomal RNA". The record is from RNAcentral.